CAGAAUCAGCUCCAGGUCAUCACUUGACGUCGACUCCCACAUUAUCGCGUGAUUAGGAGUGUUUGAAGGUGACUCCCUCCUCCUGCUCCUCGGUCAGCUCGCCUCCUGACUGCAGACCUCCUCAGGGCUUCCCCCUCCGUCCUCCUCUGAUCCAGGAUCUGCUGACGGAGGAACUGGAUCCUCUCCUGAUGAACACACAAACAACAGCAACAACACACCUCAUCCGAUUCGUGUUUCGCUCUCCUCCUCAGCUCUCUCUCUGGAUGAUAUGAAGCACAGACGAAUCGUCUGCAGCGUUGGACAAAUCCUCCGGUCAGAGAGACCAGCAGGGCCAGACCCAAAAGGAACCCUGCAACAAAGACCAGAACCAGUAAAGAGCAUGCAGGCAGAGAUGACUAUUAUUUCUGCUGAUCCAGCUUCUCUUCACUGUUUGUCGUUUCGUUGUGUGAUCGACAAGAUCUAAAAAACGGAAUACUUCCUCAGUAAUUCAGCUGCUGAGGCUUCUGAGUAAAUUUCACAUCCACAUUUCUAACUGGACUGGCUUCACACCUGCUUUCGUACUUUACUGUCAAACUCCAACAGUUGGGCACCUAAAGUUAAAGACGUAAAGAACAAA
Molecule: long non-coding RNA, 616 nt
Organism: Xiphias gladius (swordfish)
Lineage: Eukaryota; Metazoa; Chordata; Actinopteri; Istiophoriformes; Xiphiidae
Exons: 3
Source: RefSeq, a predicted model, not a curated record